RNAcentral lists this ribosomal RNA (507 nucleotides) under Chrysolina fuliginosa. RNAcentral's name for it is "partial 16S ribosomal RNA". The stretch from base 383 to 507 matches the Rfam family "Bacterial large subunit ribosomal RNA", at positions 2473 to 2599 of the family's 2925-position model. The record is from RNAcentral. Lineage: Eukaryota; Metazoa; Arthropoda; Insecta; Coleoptera; Chrysomelidae.
GUCCUUUUGUUAAUAAUUUAAGGUCUGACCUGCCCACUGAAAUUUUAAAUGGCCGUGGUAUUUUGACCGUGCUAAGGUAGCAUAAUCAUUAGUUUUUUAAUUAAAAACUGGAAUGAAGGGUUGGAUAAGAAAAUAGCUGUCUCUAUUAAAUUUAAUUAGAAUUUUAUUUUUAAGUUAAAAAGCUUAAUUAUUAUUAAAAGACGAGAAGACCCUAUAGAGUUUAAUUAUUAGGUAAAAAUUAUAUUUUAGUAUUAAAUUAUUUAUUUUAUAAUAUAAUUUAAUUGGGGUGAUUGAAAAAUUUAAUAAACUUUUUUUAUUUAAAAACAUUAAUUUAUGAAUAAAUGAYCCAAUAUUUUUGAUUAUAAGAUAAAAUUACCUUAGGGAUAACAGCGUAAUUUUUUUAUAAAGUUCAUAUUAAAAAAAAAGAUUGCGACCUCGAUGUUGGAUUAAAAUAAAUUUUUGGUGUAGAAGCUAGAAUAUUGGUCUGUUCGACCCUUAAAAUUUUAC